Molecule: ribosomal RNA, 506 nt
Filed under: uncultured bacterium
Lineage: Bacteria
Description: bacterial SSU rRNA
Rfam family: Bacterial small subunit ribosomal RNA
Source: RNAcentral
GAUGAACGCUAGCGGGAGGCCUAACACAUGCAAGCCGAGCGGUAUUGUUUCUUCGGAAAUGAGAGAGCGGCGUACGGGUGCGGAACACGUGUGCAACCUGCCUUUAUCUGGGGGGAUAGCCUUUCGAAAGGAAGAUUAAUACUCCAUAACAUAUUGAACGGCAUCGUUUGAUAUUGAAAGCUCCGGCGGAUAGAGAUGGGCACGCGCAAGAUUAGCUAGUUGGUGAGGUAACGGCUCACCAAGGCGAUGAUCUUUAGGGGGCCUGAGAGGGUGAUCCCCCACACUGGUACUGAGACACGGACCAGACUCCUACGGGAGGCAGCAGUGAGGAAUAUUGGUCAAUGGGUGCAAGCCUGAACCAGCCAUCCCGCGUGAAGGACGACUGCCCUAUGGGUUGUAAACUUCUUUUGUAUAGGGAUAAACCUACCCUCGUGAGGGUAGCUGAAGGUACUAUACGAAUAAGCACCGGCUAACUCCGUGCCAGCAGCCGCGGUAAACUGUCUACG